This 185-nucleotide ribosomal RNA is filed under the name uncultured Saccharomyces. RNAcentral describes it as "partial 26S ribosomal RNA". It matches the Rfam family "Eukaryotic large subunit ribosomal RNA", at positions 104 to 276 of the family's 3401-position model. Lineage: Eukaryota; Fungi; Ascomycota; Saccharomycetes; Saccharomycetales; Saccharomycetaceae. The record is from RNAcentral.
AGUGAGCGGCAAAGCUCAAAUUUGAAAUCUGGUACCUUCGGUGCCCGAGUUGUAAUUUGGAGAGGGCAACUUUGGGGCCGUUCCUUGUCUAUGUUCCUUGGAACAGGACGUCAUAGAGGGUGAGAAUCCCGUGUGGCGAGGAGUGCGGUUCUUUGUAAAGUGCCUUCGAAGAGUCGAGUUGUUUG